This is a long non-coding RNA of Cyprinus carpio carpio, 2218 nucleotides long. The record is from Ensembl. Lineage: Eukaryota; Metazoa; Chordata; Actinopteri; Cypriniformes; Cyprinidae.
UUUUUUGGAUCCAAAUCACAAAUUUCAGGUACUAUUUAUAUUGUAUUUAUAUUGCAUAUAAUCAUAAUAAAUACUGAAGCUGGUUUAAAAUCAAUCUGCCUUUGAUGAGCUCAUAAACUCUUUUGAUUUCUAUGUUUAUUGGGAUUUAAACAAAGAUGUAUCAAAAAUAAUUACAGACACUUUUUAGUAAUGUGACUUAAAAAUGCUACAGCUUGUUAGUUUGUCUUUUUUUAAAGGUAUUUAAGAAGGAACUGUUGACCCUCUCUGAAAAGCUUCCUGUUCUUUCUUUGUUAAAGUGGUGUAGUUUCCUGGUGUGUCAGUAGAGCUGCUGUCUGCGUGAGACUCGAUCUGACUCUCUUCUGCUGGGAUUGGACUCUUCUGGAAACUGGACUUCAGAGAAAUGAUGCUGAUCUUUGGCCUGAUGCUGCUGCUGCAAACUGCUGCAUGUCUGGAGUUGAACUGCAGUUUUAAUCAGUAUGUACCCUGUUACGCAGCUCUGGAACACAAACUCAAUCUGCUGAUGGAGCGGGACACUCGAGAAUAUGAGCUGAAGAUAAUAAAGAGAAUAAACAACAUUCACGAUGAUCCAAUUUGUAGAGUAAAGAAUGGCAGGAUGAGGGAAUGUGAUCUUUAUAAUAACAGACCUGAAGUGAACAUCAUUAAUGGGACUGUGAUAAUAAACCGUGUGAUCAGAGCAGAUUCUGGGAAUUACAGAUUAACACUCACUGACUCAGACGGCACAGAAACAUCUAGAGAUCUUCAAGUGAUUGUUGAAGCUCCAGUUGCCUCAGUGGAAGUGUCAAUCAGCUGCUCCUCCAAUCAGAGGUCAGUGUCCUGCUCCUCAGAGGGGGAUCAGCUCCUCUACAGCUGGACUCUGAAUGGAGAUCCACUGAUGGAUGGAAACAGCAGCAUUGAUCUGGAUGAGGGAACUGAUGGAAACAUCAGCUGCAGCGUGAAGAACCACGUCAGUCACGUACAGAAGACCAUUAGAAUCAAAACCUGUCCUGGUCCAGAUCGUUUUUGCAGUUUUUAUCAAUCAGAUUCCUGUUACGCAGCUGUGGGAGACGAUCUUAAUCUACUGAUGGUGCGGGAUGCUCGAGAUCAAGAGCUGCAUUUGUAUAAGGAGUUAAUGGAUAGCAGAGAACUGGAAGUUUUUAGAAUAAAGAACAAAAAAGAGAAAAAACAUGAAUCCAUCAGAAACAGAUCUGAGUUCAUCUUUGAUAAUGGGACUCUGAUAAUAAACCGUGUGAUCAGAGCAGAUUCAGGGAAUUACAGAUUAGAAUUCUAUCACUCAGACGGUUUAAGACCGUUUAAAAAGCUUCUUCGUAUUAAUAUUGAAGCUCCUACUGGCUCAGUGGAAAUGUCAAUCAGCUGCUCCUCCAAUCAGAGGUCAGUGUCCUGCUCCUCUGAGGGCGAUCAGAUCAUCUACAGCUGGACUUUGAAUGGAGAAAUACUAGAACAAGGACCAAUGGAUGGAAUCACCACCAUUCAGCUAAAUGAGGAAACUGAUGGAAACAUCAGCUGCAGUGUCAAGAACCACAUCAGUCACGCACAGAAGACAAUUAAAGUCAAACCCUGUCCUGGUCCGGAUCGGUUCUGCAGUUUUAAUCAAUCAGAUCCCUGUUACACAGCUCUGGGAGACAAACUCAAUCUGCUGAUGGUGCUGAACACUAGAGAAUAUGACCUGAAGAUAUGUAAGAGGAUAUACAACACUCAAGAUGAUCCAGUUUGUAGAGUAAAAUAUGGCAGGAUGAAGGAAUGUGAUCUUAAUAAUAACAGACCUGAAGUGAACAUCAUUAAUGGGACUGUGAUAAUAAACCGUGUGAUCAGAGCAGAUUCUGGGAAUUACAGAUUAACACUCACUGACUCAAAAGGCACAGAAACAUCUAGAGAUCUUCAAGUGAUUGUUGAAGCUCCUAUUGGCUCAGUGGAAGUGUCAAUCAGCUGCUCCUCCAAUCAGAGGUCAGUGUCCUGCUCAUCUGACGGGGAUCACAUCAUCUACAGCUGGACUCUGAAUGGAGAAAUACUAGAACAAGGACCAAUGAAUGGAAACACCUCCAUUCAGCUAAAUGAGGGAACUGAUGGAGACAUCAGCUGCAGCGUGAAGAACCACGUCAGUCACACACAGAAGAACAUUAGACUCAAACACUGUCCUGGUGAGCUUCUAAUACAUGAAUGUCACAUAUACAUAAGAACUAAAGCAACACUGAUCAUGUAA